Molecule: microRNA precursor, 104 nt
Filed under: Hordeum vulgare
Lineage: Eukaryota; Viridiplantae; Streptophyta; Magnoliopsida; Poales; Poaceae
Description: microRNA MIR1122
Rfam family: MIR1120/MIR1122 microRNA precursor family
Source: RNAcentral
AAUAUACUCCCUUCGUCCAGAAUUACUUGUCUCAUAAAUUUAUAAAAAUGGAUUGAGAUGCAUCCAUUUCUGUGACAAGUAUUUUUGAACGAAGGGAGUAGUAU